AUAAUGGAGGUAUAAUAGGUGGGUUAGUAUAGAAUAAUGGAGGUAUAAUAGGGGGGUUAGUAUAGAAUAAUAGAGGUAUAACAGGGGGAUAGCACAGAAUAAUGGAGGUAUAAUAGAAUGGAGGAGGUUUAAUAGGUGGGUUAGUAUUAGAUAAUGGAGGUAUAAUGGGGGGUUAGUAUAGAAUAAUGGAUGCAUAUCAGAAUGUAGGAGGUAUAAUUGGGGGGUUAGUAUAGAAUAAUGGAGGUAUAUCAGAAUGUAGGAGGUAUAAUUUGGGGGUUAGUAUAGAAUAAUGGAGGUUUAUCAGAAUGUAGGAGGUAUAAUAGGUGGGUUAGUAUAGAAUAAUGGAGGUAUAACGGAGGGUUAGUAUAGAAUAAUGGAGGUAUAACAGGGGGUUAGUAUAGAAUAAUGGAGGUAUAACAGGGGGUUAGUAUAGACUAAUGGAGGUGUAACAGGGGGUUAGUAUAGAAUAAUGGAGGUAUAACAGGGGGUUUAGUAUAGAAUAAUGGAGGUGUAACAGGGGGUUAGUAUAGAAUAAUGGAGGUAUAACAGGGGGUUAGUAUAGAAUAAUGGAGGUGUAACAGGGGGUUAGUAUAGAAUAAUGGAGGUGUAACAGGGGGUUAGUAUAGAAUAAUGGAGGUGUAACGGGGUUAGUAUAGAAUAAUGGAGGUAUAACAGGGGUUUAGUAUAGACUAAUGGAGGUGUAACAGGGGGUUAGUAUAGAAUAAUGGAGGUAUAACAGGGGUUUAGUAUAGAAUAAUGGAGGUAUAACAGGAGGUUAGUAUAAGAUAAUAGAGGUAUAACAGGGGGUUAGUAUAGAAUAAUGGAGGUAUAACAGGGGGUUAGUAUAGAAUAAUGGAGGUAUAACAGGGGUUUAGUAUAGAAUAAUGGAGGUAUAACAGGGCGUUAGUAUAAGAUAAUGGAUGUGUAACAGGGGGUUAGUAUAGACUAAUGGAGGUGUAACAGGGGGUUAGUAUAGACUAAUGGAGGUGUAACAGGGGGUAAGUAUUGAAUAACGGAGGUAUAACAGGGGUUUAGUAUAGAUAAUGGAGGUUUGUAAAGAAACGUUACAGUUGGAGUAAAUGCACCACCUACAUAGAACUAGAUUAGCCAAACAUUCCAAGAUUGAAAAAUGAAGUUGUUACUGAAUAAAAUAAAUAGCAACAAUACAUUUUAUUUGUAUUGCGCUUUUCAAGACACUCAGUGUAUGGGCAUUAGGCAAUAUAUGAAACAAUAAUAGAAGUAGAGACGUGAGAACCAUGGUGUUAUGGACUUUAUUUACACAAUAAAGGCAUCAGCCCCUCUCUCUAAACUGCCUAAAGAGAGGGGCUGCACAGUAAAGAAACUGACCAGCUAUACUGCAACAUACACCAACAUUAAUAAGACAGGGAAUUACAAUCCAAUAUCUACACUGUCCAUCACAACUUUUCAAAAUGGC
Molecule: long non-coding RNA, 1435 nt
Filed under: Salmo salar (Atlantic salmon)
Lineage: Eukaryota; Metazoa; Chordata; Actinopteri; Salmoniformes; Salmonidae
Description: lncRNA (ENSSSAG00000105757.1)
Source: RNAcentral